GUCUUCUUGAUAAUAUUAUGAAGUCUAACCUGCUCACUGAGUUUUUUAAAUAGCCGCGGUAUUUUGACCGUGCAAAGGUAGCAUAAUCAUUAGUUUCUUAAUUAGGGGCUGGAAUGAAUGGUUUGACGAGAAAUUAACUGUCUCUUAAUAAAUUUUAGAAUUUAACUUUUAAGUUAAAAGGCUUAAAUAUCUCUUUAGGACGAGAAGACCCUAUAGAUCUUAACAUUUAUAUUUUAUAUCUUUUUUAGUUUAUCUUUAUAUAUUAAAUUUUAAUGUUUUGUUGGGGUGACAUGAAGAAUAAAUAAACUCUUCAUUAUAAAAUCAUUAAUUUAUGUUUAUUUGAUCCAUAAUUUAUGAUCAUAAGAUUAAGUUACCUUAGGGAUAACAGCGUAAUUAUUUUUGAGAGCUCAUAUCAACAAAAUAGAUUGCGACCUCGAUGUUGGAUUAAGAUUAAUUUUAGGUGUAGUGGCUUAAUAAUUAGGUCUGUUCGACCUUUAAAUUCUUACA
This 507-nucleotide ribosomal RNA is filed under the name Stethophyma lineatum. RNAcentral describes it as "partial 16S ribosomal RNA". It matches the Rfam family "Bacterial large subunit ribosomal RNA", at positions 1830 to 2600 of the family's 2925-position model. Lineage: Eukaryota; Metazoa; Arthropoda; Insecta; Orthoptera; Acrididae. The record is from RNAcentral.